Molecule: RNA transcript, 5230 nt
Organism: Dama dama (fallow deer)
Lineage: Eukaryota; Metazoa; Chordata; Mammalia; Artiodactyla; Cervidae
Gene: SNAPC4
Gene name: small nuclear RNA activating complex polypeptide 4
Exons: 23
Source: RefSeq, a predicted model, not a curated record
GGAGUUGGCCACGGGUGGGAAGGGGCUUCUGCGUGUUUUGGCCCCAGAGUCUGUGCUUGUGUUUCCCUGACGUUUCCGCUGCCGCCAGUUUAUUCUCCCACUCCCUUGUUAGACGUCCCAGACUGUUGUUCCCAAAGCAAAAGAGGUCCCUGUUCCUUUCUCAGAGGCUUGUUCAGGCUCAGUCCCGAAAGCCAGGUGCUGUGCUAGAUGCUGGGGCUUCAGCAGGCCCUGCCCUCUCGGAGGGGGCUUCCUCCCGAGGCUUUGAAGCCUGCCAGCUGGUGGGUGUGUAUUUUGUCUGGUGCCCGAUGCCCUCUGUGACCAGCUCUGUGCUGGGGGGUGAGCGGCUGCACCUCGGGGUCAUGGGCCUCAUCCUUGUCUUCUAGUGACUCUGCCACCGCGCUCUCCUUUUGAUGCACUGGGCGGGGGCGUCAUGGACGUGGAUGCUGAGAGAGAAAGGAUCUCCAGGGAGAUCCAGCAGCUGGAGAGGAUCCUGGACCCCUGCUGCUCGAGCCUCAGCAUGGACGUCUCGGAGUCCAGUCUCGACUCGGAUUCGGAUGCAGAUUCGCUGCCCGACGAGGACUCAGACUCAGACGUCGCUGGCCCACUGCUCUCGGAGGAAGAGAGGUGGGGUGAGGCCAGCAAUGACGAGGACGACCCCAAGGAGAAGGCGCUUCCUGAAGACCCGGAGACCUGCCUGCAGCUGAACAUGGUCUACCAGGAGGUGGUCCGGGAGAAGCUGGCAGAGGUCAGCCUGCUGCUGGCCCAGAACCGGGAGCAGCAGGAGGAAAUCAUGGGCGACCUCGCAGGUGUCAAGGGCCCCAAGGUGAAGGAUGGCAGGAGCCCGCCCCCGAACCUGUACCUCGGACACUUCAUGAAGCCCUACUUCAGGGACAGGGUCACAGGAGUGGGUCCUCCUGCCAACGAGGACACGCGGGAGAAGGCUGCCCAGGGCAUCAAGGCUUUCGAGGAGCUCCUGGUGACCAAGUGGAAGACCUGGGAAAAGGUCCUGCUCAGGAAGUCGGUGGUGAGUGACCGCCUGCAGCGGCUGCUCCAGCCCAAGUUGCUCAAGCUGGAGUACUUGCAGCAGAAGCAGAACAGGGCCGCGAGCGAGCUGGAGAGGCGGGUCCUGGAGAAGCAGGCCAGGGAGGCGGAGAAGGAGGUGCAGGACAUCAAUCAGCUCCCGGAGGAGGUCCUGCUAGGUGACAGGCUGGACGGCCAUGACUGGGACAAGAUCUCCAACGUCAACUUCGAGGGAAGCCGCAGCACGGAGGAGAUUCGCAAGUUCUGGCAGAACUACGAGCACCCGAGCAUCAACAAGCAGGAGUGGAGCGAGCAGGAGGUGGCCCAGCUGAAGGCCGUCGCAGCCAAGCACGGCCACCUGGACUGGCAGAGGAUCGCCGAGGAGCUGGGGACGCGCCGCAGCGCCUUCCAGUGCCUGCAGCAGUACCAGCAGCACAACCCGGCCCUGAAGCGCAAGGAGUGGACGGAGGAGGAGGACCGCAUACUCACGCGGCUCGUGCAGGCCAUGCGCGUUGGCAGCCACAUCCCCUACCGGAGGAUUGUCUACUACAUGGAGGGGCGGGACUCCAUGCAGCUCAUCUACCGCUGGACCAAGAGCCUGGACCCCGGCCUGAAGAAGGGGCUCUGGGCCCCAGAGGAGGACGCGAAGUUGCUGCAAGCAGUUGCCAAGUAUGGGGAGCAGGAUUGGUUUAAAAUCCGGGAAGAGGUGCCAGGUAGGAGCGAUGCCCAGUGCCGAGAUCGAUAUCUCAGAAGGUUACAUUUCAGCUUGAAAAAGGGACGAUGGAAUCCUAAAGAAGUGGAGAAGUUAAUUGAAUUGAUAGAAAAAUACGGUGUUGGUCACUGGGCAAAGAUAGCCUCUGAACUACCCCAUCGGUCAGGCUCCCAGUGCCUGAGCAAAUGGAAGAUCAUGGUCAGGCAGCGGCAGCGGCAGGCCCGGCGGCGGGCCCCUCGCAGGGCGCGCUGGAGCCCCAGCAGCGGGAGCAGCAGCGACGGCAGCUGGGAGGACUCAGAGCCCGAGGAGGCCCCGAAGGACGCCCCAGAGGAGGCCCCGGCGGGCAGCCCGGAGCCGCCACCAGCUCCGUACACCGUGCCGGACAUGGACCUGUGGGUGCCCGCCCGGCAGAGCCCGGAGGAGCUGUGGGGAGCGGGCGCUGGGGGCUGCCCAUGCCCUCCCGAGGGCCCCAACACGGCCCCGGCCACGGCCCCAGCCCCAGCCCCCGCAGGGCAGCUGGCCUCCAGGGGGUGGAGCACCAACCCAAGGAGCAUCAGGUGCCUGUGCCCGGCCAUCGCUCGCCACUGGAGCUCCGAGGGGCCACCGGGCGAGGAGAGGCCUGGCUCAGCCCUGGGGCCCAGCCCUGGCAGCAGCAGCAGGGACGAGGCCAGGCCCCGCAUGCGGCCACCAUGGGCCGGGACCGUGCAGCAGCGCCAGGGACACGCCCUGCAGUGGAGGCUCCUGGAGCACAAGCUGCUGACGGCCGUGAGCCCGUGGGUGGGAGAGGUGGACCUGCUGUGCGCGCGCCCGAGGCCCGCCGUGCGGCCACGUCGAGCUGAUGGCAUCAGGAGACAGCUGCAGGGCGCCCACUUGGCCAGCACCCCAGUGUUCGCCCUCUUCAUUCAGCUGUUCCAGAUUGACACGCCUGGCUGCGUGGAGGUGGUCCGAGAGAGGAAGACUUGGCCGCCUUCCCUGCUCCAAGCUGGGGCCUGGGACCCGCCGCCUCUGCAGGAACCCUCGAGCGCCCACAGCACCCCAGGCUGCCUCACCCAGAGCGUGCCGGCCCAAGGGGCCGCGAAGCAGGGCACCUGUCCUGAGGUGGGCAAAGGGAUGCAGGCCUGCCGCGCAGCGUCCACGCCCCCAGCGCCCGCCCCGGCCCCGUGCAAACCCCGGCCCAAGCCCAAGACGGUGUCUGAGCUGCUUCGGGAGAAGCGUCUGCGGGAGGCCCGAGCCAGGAGGGCCGCGCAGGGCCCCACCAUCCUCCCGGCCCGCGUGCUGGUCUCCUCGCCCGUGGUCCUCCAGCCGCUGGCCCCCCCAGCCGCCCCAGUCCCCAGCGUCAUGCUGUCCGGGCCUGGAGGCCCUCUGGUGACCAGUUUCACUGCUUCGGGCUCCUGGGCGCCAGCCAAGGAUGAGCAAGCCCUGACUCUGCAUGCCUUUGCCCUCGGCCCGGCCGCCUCCAGGGCCCCCAGCCCGGUUCCUGCGAGCUGCCCGCUGAGUGCUCUUGGACAGUCUCAGGUCCCUGCCACGUCCCGGAAGCAGGGCCUGCCCGAAGUGCCCCCCUUUCUGCCCGCGGCCCCCAGCCCCGUCCAGCUGCCUGUCCAGUCUCUCAGCCUGACGCCAGCCCUGGGCACGCCCGCGGCAGCCAGCACGUCUCUGCCCGUCACCUGGGUCCUCACAGCACAGGGGCUGCUCCCUGUACCCCUGCAGGCCGUGAUGAGCCUGCCAACGCCGACAGGGGCUCCUGACCCCACACGGCUGUCGGUGACUCUGCCGCCCUCGCCCACUGAGACCCCAGCCAGCCGGGGCCCCGGGUUCCCUGAGCAGAGCCGCCCUGGGCCGCCAGCAGCCAGCACAGACUCGGAGCCAGAGCCUCCCUGCAGGACGGAGCCCUUGAAUGAGAGCCCCGCAGAGGUGGCCAAGGCCUGUGGCCUCGCGGGACUCGCCUCCCCUGGGGAGGCCCUGGCGGCUGGGGAGACAUCUGCACCCACGACUCCCUCCCAGGAAACACCCCUGGCCCACCACCCGGUGACCGGGCCCCCUAGCUCCAGCCCACCGCCUCUGCACGGGGCCCCAGGGGCUGCCUCAGGGCCCGGGGAGCCCCGGCCUCGGGACCUGGAGGAGCCCCCGCUCUCCUGGCUGGGGCUGGAGAACAAAGCCCUGGACUUGAGCCUCCUUUCCCAGGAGAGCGAGGCCGCUGCGCGGGAGUGGCUGCAAGGGCAGCGAGGGGUGCCCGCACCCGCCCCGGGGAGCCGGCUGGCCUACCAGCCGCCCAUGCUGUGCAGCCUGCGGGCGCUGUCCGGCCUCCUGCUGCGCAAGAAGGACUUGGAGCAUGGGGCCGCGGUCCUGGCGCCCGGCGGGCCGGCCGGCGCCCUGCAGGCCUCGCUGGGGCGGGUGCGCGAGCGGCUCCGCGACAGCCCGGCCUACCUGCUGCUGCGGGCGCGCUUCCUGGCCGCCUUCGCCCUGCCCGCGCUCCUGGCCACCCUGUCCCCCCGCGGCGUCCCCACCACCCUGUCGGUGAGCACUGGGCCGGACCCUGAGACAGACAGUGACCAGCUCGACCCGGAGGAGCCAGAGCUCACCGACAGUGACGGGGACGCCGGGGACCCCGCCCAGACAAGAACCCGGAUACAGACACGGGAAGGAGUCCCUGGUCCCCUCAGAACACGGAGGGCCCUCGGGUCCCUUGCGGGCGUUGACCCUUCCAGAGAACCCCCCGGAGCAGCCCAUCCCCGUCACGUGGGGGUGACCACAGCAGUGAGGCUUGCUGCUGGAUCUGUGGCCCCCCACACCCCCCACAGCUCGGCCUAGCCCACUUCCCUUUCCCGGGGUACAGCCUUAGAAGUCUGGAGGGUCUUCCAGGCUGAAACAAAGGGCAAGCUCUGCUGGCCUCCAGAUACUGAGGGGAGGAGACCCGCUGUCCCCAGCGGCGUGGGCAGCUUCCCUCGGGCCCUGGCCCAGCUGGGGGAACCAUGGUAUAGGAGGCUUGCUCUCGGGGGGCUGCUCAGCGGGGAUCGGAGUCCCCAAGUGAAGGAGGGGUCAGCAGGAAGUCAGAGCCCCAUGUGGCCCCAGGAAGACGGCACCUCCCGUCAAGCUCCAGUGGGGACACGCCCAAGGAGCUGCCUGCUCCUCCCUGCCCUGCUGCCCAUCCAUCUAGGCUGGAGGGUCACUCUCAUCCUCUGCCUGGACUUUAGGGAGCCCCGGACCCCAGCCAGGGCUCUGCCCCUUCCUGCCCAGACAGCCCCGACGACCCAGACGUGCUGCAGACACGGCGCUCGAGGCACGUCCGCAAGCGGCGGCGGCUGCAGUGAGCCGCAGGACUGCCCAGGGCCGGCCAGCCAGUGCAGCUGACAGGCAGGGGGCCCGUGCUGGACCCGGGCGAGCCUACCGGGAGGAACGCUCCGCCAUCAGUGACUGCAUCGUCCCAGCUCAGCUGGGCCCCUAGGGCACCCAGAAUGCUGGAAGGAAUAAAGAAAUGUCCUGUUUGUGAUUAAAAGCAAA